ACAUGAACAUUAACCAAAGUGUAAAUAAACAAGCAAAUGUGUAAAUUAUGAAAUAUUCAUUUUCAAAUCUCAGUAAAUAUAUCAGAUGAAAGAUGGUCAGAUGACAAAAAUACAUUUGGGAAACCCACCAUUAUAUGUAAAUAAGAAAUAAUGUGAAUUUGUGUAUUUUAAUGUGUUUGAAAGACAAAUGCCUUCCAAAGUUAUUAAAAACAGAUGUUAAAAUAAGUUAUAAUUCAGUGAUAAUUCAGAUAAAUAUGAUUGUGUUCAUCAAUAUUUAGAUGAUUUCUGUAAAUGCAGUGGUCAGCUGAGUAAUGACUGGACACAACUGACAGACUUUCUGAGUCUAUAGAAGCGGUGGAUAUUUCAGGAAGGAAUGUUUAAAAGAUGGAAAAGAGGAAUUAGGGAGAAUCACUAAAUGAAAGCGACAUCAUUUGUAUAAAUAAUAUGUAACUGUAGUCUGAUUCUGAGUAUUUAAUUUAAUUACAAGUACUUAAUUACUGGAAUCUGAUUACAUAACUCAGAUUAAAUAUAAUCAGUUUCUACCCAGCUCUGAUGAUAUAAUAUUAUAAUAUUACUGCACUAGAUUACAGAUAUGCUAUACUAUUAUAAUAUUGUUAAUGUGUAGUAAUAUUCAAGCUGUUUUUCAGGUUCACCUGUGCUCAUGAGAUCAGUGUGGUUAACUCUCAUGAUGCUGAUCAAUGCUGUAUUGGUCUAUUUCUACAUCACAGCUCUGGAAAAUGAAAAGGAUCGUGUCGGAUGGGUCUGUGUGAUUGUGUUUCUCCAGACGCUCUGGGCACUGGUCAACUUCACAUGGUCAUUUCAGUCAUUCGGUACAGUAUAAAUAAUUUUCGGUCAUACGGUACAGUAUAAAUCAUCUGCUAUGAUCUUCUUCUCACUGUCAUGAUUUCACUAUCAGCUCUUGUUUAUUCUCUUCACUCUUCUGAACAGAGAUCGAGUCUCCACAAAGGAAAAUAUUAUCAUAAUUGUAACAGUAAAGGACUGUAAAAAUGCAACAGUAAAAACACUUAACAGUAAUUUUCCCUUAACAAAAUUUCUUGUUUUUGUUCUUAUAAGUUAUGAGCAUUAGGACUUUGUUACAUCUUAUGUUAAUAUUAACUGCACUAUUUCAGUCUCGUGUGUGUUAUGAUGGUGGUGUUUAUUAUUUGUGUGAAUGAUGCAGCUUCUGUAUAUUAAUAUUUUCCUCAUCAGCUUAUGAUAAUCUUUGAUUCAUCAGUAACUUUCUCUUGUCAGUGUAUCAUAAAUGUACAGAACAGAUUUCAGCGCUUCAGGAGGCUGAAAUAUUAACAUUAUAGCAGUUAAUGAAAUACAGGUUUAUCAUUUAAGACACAUCAAUAAAUCCUGAAUAUAUUUUAAGAUGAAGUUCUGCUGACUUUAUUUUAUUUUUACUGUAAAACUUCACGUAUGUUUUUAAAGUGUAGUUAAGUUAUUCAGCAUUUUCAAUCCCAGAAAAGCUUUACUUCUGUUGUUGUGAUAAUGAUUUUCAUGAAACCGAGCUGAUAUUUCACUGUAAUGUUUCCUCAAUCAAGCUCAAACGUGUGAAAUAUGAGGCUGUGUUUGUGUAUGAAUAUUGAGUUGUUGUCAUGUUUUAUUCAACUUCUCUCAAUGAACAAAUGAAUGAUGAAAAACCUUAUUAUUCUACACACUUUUGUCUGUAUGAUUUAUUAGUUCUCAUUAUCUUCAUGAAGCACUUCUGUCCUGAUGAUAAUCAAUGCCUCAAAUCAAACACCAGAAAGACCAAGACUCAACUAUAGAAAGAUGUGGAUAUCAAAUACAUUAAAUGUUGUGUUUUUUUCUCUGUAGUGGUUAUUUAAGUGGUGUAAUUGUAUGUAAAGCUGCUGAUAUUGAACAGUAUGAUUUGAUCUUUCAGCUCUUCCCAGUCUCGCAGCUGUGUAUGUGUUUGGAUCAGUCGGUGUUGUGUUACUGAACUCUGUUGCUCUGAUGAUUGAACUGAUCCUCAAAACAGGUGAAUGAACACUUGAUCAUCACACACUACACAAUUACACUCAUACAUCUGCAUAUUAAUGAUUAUUAUAAACUCAUACAGAUCUGGGUCUGAGGUCAGUCACUGUCUGCAGUCAGCAGAAUCAUCACAUCGUGUGUGUGGUGUCUAAAGAUUAGAAACUUAGGAUUCAAACACCAGUCGUUUUCACAAAUACUUGUUUAAACAUGUUUGAUAUUUGUGACUGUCUCCAGAUAUUGUAUAUGAGACUAUGAAGAUGUUCACUGUCAAACAACAUUUAAGGUUCAUGUUGUCAUUUUAUCAAAUAGUUUUCUUCAUUACACAUCUUAUUGUG
Molecule: long non-coding RNA, 2315 nt
Organism: Carassius auratus (goldfish)
Lineage: Eukaryota; Metazoa; Chordata; Actinopteri; Cypriniformes; Cyprinidae
Source: Ensembl